RNAcentral lists this ribosomal RNA (561 nucleotides) under uncultured bacterium. RNAcentral's name for it is "bacterial SSU rRNA". It matches the Rfam family "Bacterial small subunit ribosomal RNA", at positions 338 to 917 of the family's 1533-position model. The record is from RNAcentral.
CCUACGGGAGGCAGCAGUGGGGAAUCUUGCGCAAUGGGCGAAAGCCUGACGCAGCCAUGCCGCGUGAAUGAUGAAGGUCUUAGGAUUGUAAAAUUCUUUCACCGGGGACGAUAAUGACGGUACCCGGAGAAGAAGCCCCGGCUAACUUCGUGCCAGCAGCCGCGGUAAUACGAAGGGGGCUAGCGUUGCUCGGAAUUACUGGGCGUAAGGGAGCGUAGGCGGAUAGUUUAGUCAGAGGUGAAAGCCCAGGGCUCAACCUUGGAAUUGCCUUUGAUACUGGCUAUCUUGAGUGUGGGAGAGGUAUGUGGAACUCCGAGUGUAGAGGUGAAAUUCGUAGAUAUUCGGAAGAACACCAGUGGCGAAGGCGACAUACUGGCCCAUUACUGACGCUGAGGCUCGAAAGCGUGGGGAGCAAACAGGAUUAGAUACCCUGGUAGUCCACGCUGUAAACGAUGAGUGCUAGUUGUCGGCAUGCAUGCAUGUCGGUGACGCAGCUAACGCAUUAAGCACUCCGCCUGGGGAGUACGGUCGCAAGAUUAAAACUCAAAUGAAAUUGACCGG